RNAcentral lists this long non-coding RNA (433 nucleotides) under Mus pahari (shrew mouse). RNAcentral describes it as "lncRNA (MGP_PahariEiJ_G0003696.1)". Lineage: Eukaryota; Metazoa; Chordata; Mammalia; Rodentia; Muridae. The record is from RNAcentral.
AGCUGUAGCCACAUAGUCUCCGUAGCUUCAGCUUAAAUUCGAACUGCAGACAAAUGAAGAUAUGGUUUCCUAAAGGAGAAAAACACAGAGAGAGAAUGCAACAACCCUGCCAAUGCUCAUUUUCAUGAGAGAGAACUUCAUUCAGUCACAGUAUGUGACACAGAAGCCAUGUCUCAAGCUCAGCUUGUUAUGAUGCAUUGAUUCUUCAUGUCUAAAAUAAAGACUCUCUAGCCGUUCUGUUCAACCAGAAUGUAUUAUUAUGAAUGGAGUAUACAAUCUCCUGUGCUUCUUAUACACUAACAUGGUUCUAGGUACAAUAGUUAUUCUGUUGCCAGAGGAGGAUAAACACAAAUCACAGCUUUGCAGCUAGCCCAGUGCAAUCAGUUUUACUCUAUUAAAAGGAAGAGAACCUAAAGGGUUAUUAAUUAAAGUU